RNAcentral lists this ribosomal RNA (497 nucleotides) under uncultured bacterium. RNAcentral describes it as "partial 16S ribosomal RNA". It matches the Rfam family "Bacterial small subunit ribosomal RNA", at positions 28 to 507 of the family's 1533-position model. The record is from RNAcentral.
GAUGAACGCUGGCGGCGUGCCUAAUACAUGCAAGUCGAGCGAACGGACGAGAAGCUUGCUUCUCUGAUGUUAGCGGCGGACGGGUGAGUAACACGUGGAUAACCUACCUAUAAGACUGGGAUAACUUCUGGAAACCGGAGCUAAUACCGGAUAAUAUUUUGAACCGCAUGGUUCAAAAGUGAAAGACGGUCUUGCUGUCACUUAUAGAUGGAUCCGCGCUGCAUUAGCUAGUUGGUAAGGUAACGGCUUACCAAGGCAACGAUGCAUAGCCGACCUGAGAGGGUGAUCGGCCACACUGGAACUGAGACACGGUCCAGACUCCUACGGGAGGCAGCAGUAGGGAAGCUUCAGAGAUGGGCGAAAGCCUGACGGAGCAACGCCGCGUGAGUGAUGAAGGUCUUCGGAUCGUAAAACUCUGUUAUUAGGGAAGAACAUAUGUGUAAGUAACUGUGCACAUCUUGACGGUACCUAAGCAGAAAGCCACGGCUAACUACGUG